AUUGAACGCUGGCGGCAUGCUUUACACAUGCAAGUCGAACGGGCUUGGGGGCUUGCUCCCAAGUUAGUGGCGAACGGGUGAGUAAUACAUCGGAACGUACCGUGUAGUGGGGGAUAACGUAGCGAAAGUUACGCUAAUACCGCAUACAAUCUACGGAUGAAAGCAGGGGACCUUCGGGCCUUGUGCUAUACGAGCGGCCGAUGUCUGAUUAGCUAGUUGGUGAGGUAAAGGCUCACCAAGGCGACGAUCAGUAGCGGGUCUGAGAGGAUGAUCCGCCACACUGGGACUGAGACACGGCCCAGACUCCUACGGGAGGCAGCAGUGAGGAAUAUUGGACAAUGGGCGCAAGCCUGAUCCAGCCAUGCCGCGUGCAGGAUGACGGUCCUAUGGAUUGUAAACUGCUUUUGUACAGGAAGAAACACUGGUUCGUGAACCAGCUUGACGGUACUGUAAGAAUAAGGAUCGGCUAACUCCGUGCCAGCAGCCG
This 487-nucleotide ribosomal RNA is filed under the name uncultured bacterium. RNAcentral describes it as "bacterial SSU rRNA". It matches the Rfam family "Bacterial small subunit ribosomal RNA", at positions 30 to 517 of the family's 1533-position model. The record is from RNAcentral.